CAGCACUUAAUACUGACAGUACUGACAGAGCUAUCCAUAUCCUAUACUUGUGUUGAAGGCUUACGAUGUGUUGUGCUAGCUGGGUUUAAGAAGUGCAAUAUUAAAACAAAAGCCAUGAGUCUUUUAGGCCCAGUAUGUAAAGAUACACUCUGAGGUACAACUCAAAGAACAACU
This 174-nucleotide small nucleolar RNA is filed under the name Choloepus hoffmanni (Hoffmann's two-fingered sloth). Its description in RNAcentral is "Small Cajal body specific RNA 1 (ENSCHOG00000016062.1)". It matches the Rfam family "Small Cajal body specific RNA 1". From Rfam's summary of the family: scaRNAs are a specific class of small nuclear RNAs which localise to the Cajal bodies and guide the modification of RNA polymerase II transcribed spliceosomal RNAs U1, U2, U4, U5 and U12. ACA35 belong to the H/ACA box class of guide RNAs as it has the predicted hairpin-hinge-hairpin-tail structure, conserved H/ACA-box motifs and is found associated with GAR1. Lineage: Eukaryota; Metazoa; Chordata; Mammalia; Pilosa; Megalonychidae. The record is from RNAcentral.